UGAAAUAAGUGAGUUUUAAUAUAGACAUGUGGACUGGGAGAAGUGGCAUUAACUCGCCCUCAAAUGGCAUGAUUCCUAAUGAAAACAAUAGGCAAGCACUACUGACUCUGUUUGAUUGCUAGACUGUAGAAAGCUUCACAAAGUGGUCGAUGUCUACACAAAUCAUGUUAAAGCUUGUCUUUCAACUGUUUAUUCCUAGAGUAUGAGACCAAAGAACUGAAAGCCAUAGAGGAUGCCUUAACAAAAGAAAUUCAUGUUCACUUGCUUAUCUACGGAUGAUUAGAUAUCUAAAUAACAUGUUUAAGGUGAAUAGCCACCAUAAUCCUUAUUGCAUGGCAAAAAAAAAAAAAAAUCCCUCAUCACUUUCAUCUUUCCAGUUUGACUCUAAUGUUAUUUUGCACUCUCACAUUAGAACAGGAAACAUUUCUCCAUUUUGUUAUUGAAGAAAUACUUAUUAAAUACUCUGUAGGAUGUUUAAAAUAUAAUACAUAUAAAUAUAGCAUUUUCUUUAUUAGCUAGUAAUAACAUAUAAGACGUUAAGUAAGUGCCAAGUCACAGUAAGAAAAACUGUAGAAAAGUUAAUAGUACAAUAUCAAAAAGCUUGGCUUUGAAAUAUGUACCUAAUUUUACCAGAAAGAGAGGUGGGGGGAGAAAGAAAGAAAGAGAAAGGAGAGAGAAAUGAAUGAAUGAAUUAAUUUAAGAAAAGUACAAAAAGGAAGCCUUUGGAUGCUCAAUCAUGGUAGAUGUGCUCCUACUGCUCUUAAGAUUCUGGAUCAGGAAGCAGUGUUCUAGAAUUCUCUGCAGGAGAAGAAACAACCCAGCAGCUGUCAAUCACACACUUGCUUCUGAUUAUGGAUAGAAACUUUCUUCCCACUUCCCAUUCUCCAGGCUGGGAUUUUUUUCUAGUGUGAAAUUGUACAGGUUUUGUUCAUGGAAAGAGAUAUGUUGUAUGCUAAAGUAAAGCACUGAAAUUUUUUAAAGGUCAAGUCAAUGUUUGUUAAAUUUGGGUUGGUGGUUUCUGCAUAAAAAUACAAAUUUCUCUAUCUAGAAGUUGACAGAAUCAUUCAAACUGUACUUUAAGCACACAUGCACAUUGUCCUCAUGAUUUUGAACUGUCCAUUGUUUUUAUUUUGUACUUUUAGAUAGAUAGACAGACAGACAGAUAGGUAGAUAGAUAGAUAAAAACGUGUAACACACUGCUUGAAUAUAUAUGCAUUAUAUAUCUCUAUCUCUAUACAUAUACCUAUCCCUAUCACCUAUACCUAUACCUCUAUCUAUUGAUCAAUAGAUCAAUCAAUCGAUCUAUACAUAGAUAUCAAACCACACAGAAAUUUGAUAGAGAUAAUAGCAUUAUGACUCAGUGCCCAAGUGCUUGCACACACACAGGCUCUAGACUCAGUCCUCAGAAGUACGAAACAAUGUAACCUGACAACAACAAAAAGUUACUGGAUUUUGAAGCUAGAACUUCUUGUAGCAAAAUCUUUGGGGUAUUGAAGAGUUCUUGGAUAGUACCUUUUUCCCAGAAUACUUUGUAUUAGUUAUCUUUUCCCUGAAUACUGGACACAAUCUACUUACA
RNAcentral lists this long non-coding RNA (1576 nucleotides) under Mus musculus (house mouse). RNAcentral describes it as "long non-coding RNA chr2:43995009-43996585". Lineage: Eukaryota; Metazoa; Chordata; Mammalia; Rodentia; Muridae. The record is from RNAcentral.